Ictalurus punctatus (channel catfish) is the source of this 5761-nucleotide long non-coding RNA. NCBI's taxonomy places the organism in Eukaryota, Metazoa, Chordata, Actinopteri, Siluriformes, Ictaluridae. The record is from Ensembl.
UAUAUUAUAUAUUAUAUAUAAGAGUAAAAGAAGUUCUUGAAAAUCCGUCAACCAUCAUCACACAAAGAGCUUUAAACACUAAAGCGAACAAUACUUGUUGACCUGCACCAUCAUAUGUUGCAUAUAAAACUCCAGAUACCCAUCAGUUAGUACACUCAAGGCCCUGAUAAAGUUUAAACAGUUUAAACAUGUUUAUAUUGAAAAGCAUUGGAACCAUGAACAUAGUGUUCACCCAAUCAAAGCGACAGUGAGGGGAAUGAAGAAGUAUACAAAGCGCUUUAGAAUUAGUUCAUUAAUGUACAUUUCAGUUAAUGUUUUGAGUUUGUCAUAUUUCAAAAUCACUAUUUUGCUGCCUCCUAAACGACUUGCUUAAAAGAGGCUCAGCUACUGGACUUCACUAUGCAUCACAGGAAUUACCACUGGAGUAGUGUUGUGAUCGGUUGAGACUGAAACUAAAAUUAUUUGCCCUGCACACACCAGCAGGCGCUUUUUUUUUUUUUUAAAUGGGGCACACAAGGAUAAUAAUACUGAUACCGGAUAUUAUGUAUGCUGGGGGAUCACUGAUGCUUUAAAAUCGUAUUAAUCACAAUCUGGUUGCCUUUGCUAGAGGUUAAAAACUUGGCCAUAGAUGAAUCUUCAAUACACUGUCCCCAUACAUCCCUACAGGGGUGGAAUUAGCACUAGGCAAAAGCAGACAACUGCCUUGGGAUCCCAGAAGCCAAGGGACCCCUAAAAAUGCAAACUAUAUAUAUAUAUUUUUUUUUAAUUAUUAAUGCUAAAUAAUGCAUGCUGAAAAUUGAAGUAUUGAUGUUAAAACACUGGAAUGAUUUAUAUUGCUGUUAAUUCAGCAGCGACCAGGGGACACUGCUGUGUAGCAGCAAGCAUCACAACAGAGAAAGGAAGCUCAAGAAUAAUCGAGGUAAAUGUUUGUAAUUUAAUAGGGCCCCUAAAUAAAUAAAUAAAUCCACCCCCGCAUCCAGAUCAACAUAAGUGUAUGCAGAUCUCAAAAUGUGCUUUGCUAUAGAGGAUCUGAAUCUGAAACCUGUUAGUUUGAGGCUUGGCCAAACUAACCUUAAAGCACCUUAGAGCACAGUCCACAAGCGCAAACCUCAGAAUAUAAAGGAGUCGGAAAUGUUCUGCUCACCUGAGUGGUCCAAGAUCCUCUACCAGUGUCUCCAAUCUCGUCUUCAUUACGGAGAGAAUCAGUGCUGUUUAUUCAUUUAUUAUUAACAAAAUAUCAAUAGUAUGGGUCCUGAUAAAUUUGAAACCAGUUUGUAGUUGUAUUUUAUUUUUUAAAAAUAAAAACUACAUUAAAUUAAAGCUAAACAGAAUCGCCACAUGUAUCAGUUCAAGAUAUGAAAAUUUCCAUGCAUUAUUCAUGCUUGCUGAUUUGCAUGAAGGGUACAAAUAAUUCUAGAGUUAUAAAACAAUGAUGAAACAAUACACACACAGCCUUUUUCUGCUGUCUAAUGCAGUGUGCCAUCAAAUAUUUAGUUUAAAAAAAAAAAAAAAAAGAUUUUCAAAAAUAUUUGACAAUCUGUGAAAUGUUGAAGCCAGGAUUAGAGCGUUUUGCCUGAAUCGUGAACCACUGCAGUCCUGACGAUGUGACGUGUGAUAAAUCCACUUAGCACACUACAUGAACACCACCUCAUCUCCUUGAUCCCUCUCUGUUUGAUUCCUGCUCCCUGACACACACACACACACACACACACACACACACACACACACACACACACACACACACGAGAGUUGGGGCUAGGCAGGUGAUAAUCUGAUCAGUUAGUCAUUAAACCGAGUCCCAUGGGGUCAGUUCAACUUCAGAGAGGGGACGUGUGGCACCAUGAACUACACGAACAUCCUGAAAUAGAAUGUAGUGACUGGAGGAGAGAAUAUGGAGAGAAGUGGAGAGCAAAAAUAUCAUGGUUUUACAACAAAGGGUAUGGAGAGUGUGAAAAGGUUAAAAGGUUAACCAUUUGAGAAAGAAAGAAAUAAAGAAAGAAUAGGUUAGGAGAGCAGGUGAGGAGAGGAGAGGGCAGGUGAGGUGAAGGGAGGGCAGGUGAGGAGAGGAGAGGGCAGGGCAGGUGAGGAGAGGGCAGGGCAGGAGAGGUGAGGGCACGUAAGGAGAGGUGAGGGCAGGUGAGGGCACGUAAGGAGAGGUGAGGGCACGUGAGGAGAGGGCAGGUGAGGGCACGUGAGGAGAGGAGAGGGCACGUGAAGAGAGGGCAGGUGAGGGCACGUGAGGAGAGGAGAGGGCAGGUGAGGAGUUUUUAGACUCCAGUGUGAAGGGGUGUAAAGUGUGAGGUGUUUGGAGGGAAAUGCACUGAGGGUGGAACUGGGCAUCUCAGACAGCUAACAGCACAAACAAGAAACUACACUGUUCACUCCUUGCUCUUACCUGUACAACGGCGACGGAGUGAGAACACACAACACGGCACAUUUAACACACGAGAGAGCGUUUUAAGAAAAAAAAAAAAGCCUUUAUUUUACAAUUUUAAAAAGCAAUAUUAAGCACAAAGAGUGAACUUUGAUAUAAACUUUUUUUUUCCUGCAUAAAAAUGGUGGCGUGUGCACGUUGUGCUUGCAUUGCAAACUGUGUCCAGCCUCUUGGGGCUCUCGCCGUCUCGCCUUUUUAUUGCAUAUGUCACACGUGACAGACUCCUCGUGGGUCUGCUUCCAGUUCAGGACUGUGCAGAAGACAAGGAAGAGGAGGAGAUGAAGAAACAAGAAAAAAAACAAAAACAAAACCCAAACAGACAGAAAAGAAAUGCACACAGUAGCAGCUCUCUGAAGAAGGUCUUGCACAUUGUCCAGAGGGGGGAAAUAAAACAAUAAUUAUAAACCAACGAAUGAUUAGAAUAAAUUAACAGAGUGACACUCACCGCAGUUGUGCUUUAACGCUGUUUACACAAACAGCUAACCCUAAUUAAAAACACAAAGCAACUCAGAUAUGAAUCAGAGAUUCCUGUGACAGAUAUGCUGCCCCAAGUUUCUAAUUAUUUAGCGCAUAAUGCUAGCUGAACAGUUGCACACAUCCCCAUAGACAGCUGUGAUUAUUAUAUUCUCUCCUCUGUAUCUCUCUCUACUCUAUAGAAAUCUACUCUUACAAAACUAAACCAUAUUACAAGGCAUUUCCCCUUAUAAAGGAAGGCAGAUUCACGCUCCUAUUUAUAUCACCACCAUUCAUCACACAGCAAGUUACUUAAAAAAAAAAUAAAAUAAAAACAAAACACUCAACCUUUAAAGACUUUGGUAUGAACAAAAGAUUUUCAGAUCCUCCUAGUAACGGAAUAAGAUUGUUUCCCUUUGAAGAACCAAGUCCUGUUAUAAUGCUAAGUAUGAAAUGUGCAUAGAAAUAUUCAUGAGAUGAACGUUCACGCCAGUGAAACACCACUGAUAGAAAAUUGAUGUUUGAGGAGAAGACACUCAAAAAAAAAAAAAAAAAAAAAAAAGAAAAAGAAAAAAAAAAAAGUUGUCUCUUAAGAUAAAUCAGUCAUGAGGCGUGAAGUCUCUUACAGAAAACUCCGCCUAAGAAGCAGCGACAAGGUCCCGAGUAAAACUUCCUCACGUCUCCUACAAUCUAUUCUGAGCUUUUACUCUUUAAGUGAACAAUUCUACUGUUGGUAUGUGCGGAGUAAAACGGCCAACGGGCAGCGGGUCAGGCUGGGCAGAACACUGUACUUCUGUGUGUCUUGGCUGAGACUGGGAAAAGAGACUGAGCUCACCAGGGUAAAGGUUCUGCUACUAAGCUUCAGAUAUCCGUGCUUCUGAGGACCACAAGGUGAUCAAGUCAAACACUUACACACCCUCACGCACACACACCUUGGAAAACAUCUCAAUUUAUGAAAGAGCUAUGCUGCACUGGGGAAGGCUUUGCACACUUUACAUUUCUUCCACUAGCUUGCAUUUUGAGCUGAUUAUUUAUCUAUAGAAGAGAAAGACAAAUCUUUCUCAUACCAAGACUUGAAUUACAUUCUCUGGCUUUUUUUUUUUUUUAAUAUAAUAAUUUUGUACUCUUUAUAAAAAACAAAAAAACAAACAAACAAAAAAAAAACAAACAAACAAAAACAAAAAACAAAAACUGCCCUCAUGAGUUACUGAUAAUAUUACACUUUCUCUUAAACAAGAGGGAAAAAAAACCUUUGGUAACACCAACAUUUUACCAGUAACUAGAGCUUGACCAUAAAGGCUUUUUCCAACAGGAGCCAACUGUCAAAGGUCUGCUUUUGUUCAUCCUGAUAUCAAGUUGACGACAUACCUCAUUCAAUUUUUACUGACGUUAGCUUGUUCUGAUGAUGACUUGCAUUCAUCAUUCAUGCAUACUUUGCAGCUCAGAGUACUUCUGGUAUGUGAGAGUUAUAUAACGUUGAUGUGAAGUCAGGGUAAUUACAUAUAACUGUCAAUUAGGGUGCUGAGACUGUUACAAGAUUUAGAACAAGCUCAAAUAUUCAACGACUAAAGAACUUACCAAAGAUGAAAAUAUGAUCAGUCAUGACAGUGUCAUGGCAUUCCCGGAAAUAUUAAUAGAAAUAUACUAUAGGUACACUGAACUGCAAAGUCAAAGUCAGUUGUCAUGACGAUCUAACGCAGCACAGAUUUAUGUCAACAAAUAUCUCUCACUUGACACUAUGGGGUUAUGAAAGCAAUCAUUACACCCGUUUGUUAGACGCCUUAAUACAUGCUUAUGUGGGUUUUAUGUAGGAGUCAAAUAACUAUUAAUCACUGCCUUUAAGUAAAAGUUACCAAAACUUGUAUAGCUUAUGAGAAUCAGUCAUUAUCUUCUGCUCCACUGAACAGAUUCAGUGUAGUCUGUAGUUUGAUGUACGAACAGCAUACUUCACUUAUAUGAAGUCAAGCCAGAUGUUCUGUCUAUCUGCAUUCCCGAGGGCAUUCGCUCAGCUCGUGAUUUAGAGACAAACGCCAACACAAGGUAACGGUUUAGGGUUUAGGGAAAGGGGGGAAAACAAAAAUAAAAAGGGAAAUGGGUCAUGCUACAACGCUGCAAUCAACAAUCCAUAAACUUUCAUUGUGUGUCCAAUUCAAACCUACUGUGACAAGGACUGAGUAGAAACUAAAUAAUUAAUGUAAACCCUUUAAAGAUCAUACACAUAUGUGAAGUGUCCAUUUUACAUAAAGGAACCAAAUGAUGCGGUCACUGAUAUGAUGCGAGUGAACAGAAAGUGACCAACACCUAGCGCGGUUCAGAAUGUUGGGUUUGUUUUAUGAAGACAUUUAGUUUCCUACAGCUUUUAGCAUUUGGUUAAGAUGACAGCGAAUGGUCGGUCAUGCUACUGAAAUGUUUCGGUAGAACUGGAGAGUCUGCAGUAAACGGUUCUCAGUCACCCUGCCCCAGAGGAGCACUGGGGAAAUUCAUUGGCUCACAUUGCUGCUACAUGCGGUUCACGAUCAACCAAAACUAUUAUGGAUUUAAGACUCAAUCAAAGACAAUGUCCGAAGAUUACGCCUUGCUAGCCCCCAAGAAACAACAUUUAUGGAUUACUUACUCAAACUUUUUCGAAAAUAAUUUUAUAUUGUUUUUGUUAGAAGACCAGUGAACUAGCAUUAACUACUUCUGUGGCCUAAUAUACUUUCUCCAUUUAUGUUUCAUAUUGGUUCCGGUGUGCCUUAUGGUGAGCAUGUAAAAAAAAAAAAAUAAAUGCAUGUUUGAUUGUUGUGUACUACAUAAUUCACCCUAAAGUCUUGCCCGUAACAUAUCCAUACCACUACAGCAGGAGCAGAUUUACAUUAAGAUAUAUAUAUAUAU